RNAcentral lists this ribosomal RNA (520 nucleotides) under uncultured bacterium. RNAcentral's name for it is "bacterial SSU rRNA". It matches the Rfam family "Bacterial small subunit ribosomal RNA", at positions 9 to 529 of the family's 1533-position model. The record is from RNAcentral.
GAGUUUGAUCCUGGCUCAGGAUGAACGCUGGCGGCGUGCUUAACACAUGCAAGUCGAGCGAAGCAUUUAAGACGAUCUCUUCGGAUUGAGUCUUAUAUGACUGAGCGGCGGACGGGUGAGUAACGCGUGGGUAACCUGCCUCAUACAGGGGGAUAACAGUUAGAAAUGACUGCUAAUACCGCAUAAGCGCACAGGGCUGCAUGGCCUGGUGUGAAAAACUCCGGUGGUAUGAGAUGGACCCGCGUCUGAUUAGCUAGUUGGAGGGGUAACGGCCCACCAAGGCGACGAUCAGUAGCCGGCCUGAGAGGGUGAACGGCCACAUUGGGACUGAGACACGGCCCAGACUCCUACGGGAGGCAGCAGUGGGGAAUAUUGCACAAUGGGGGAAACCCUGAUGCAGCGACGCCGCGUGAAGGAAGAAGUAUCUCGGUAUAUAAACUUCUAUCAGCAGGGAAGAAAAUGACGGUACCUGACUAAGAAGCCCCGGCUAACUACGUGCCAGCAGCCGCGGUAAUACGUA